CCGGAUACUGGUGGCUGCCAGCAGUCCUUGGCUUGGAGGUUGCAGCUAAGUUUUUCCCAUGCCACAUCUCAUCAAAUCCUCAGAACAGCACAGAAUCGAUGGGCAUGAUCCUCAUCCCCACCUGACAG
Molecule: long non-coding RNA, 128 nt
Organism: Myotis brandtii (Brandt's bat)
Lineage: Eukaryota; Metazoa; Chordata; Mammalia; Chiroptera; Vespertilionidae
Exons: 2
Source: RefSeq, a predicted model, not a curated record